This 550-nucleotide ribosomal RNA is filed under the name uncultured bacterium. RNAcentral describes it as "bacterial SSU rRNA". It matches the Rfam family "Bacterial small subunit ribosomal RNA", at positions 355 to 896 of the family's 1533-position model. The record is from RNAcentral.
CAGAGAAUCUUCCGCAAUGGGCGAAAGCCUGACGGAGCAACGCCGCGUGAGUGAUGAAGGUCUUCGGAUCGUAAAACUCUGUUAUUAGGGAAGAACAAAUGUGUAAGUAACUAUGCACGUCUUGACGGUACCUAAUCAGAAAGCCACGGCUAACUACGUGCCAGCAGCCGCGGUAAUACGUAGGUGGCAAGCGUUAUCCGGAAUUAUUGGGCGUAAAGCGCGCGUAGGCGGUUUUUUAAGUCUGAUGUGAAAGCCCACGGCUCAACCGUGGAGGGUCAUUGGAAACUGGAAAACUUGAGUGCAGAAGAGGAAAGUGGAAUUCCAUGUGUAGCGGUGAAAUGCGCAGAGAUAUGGGGGAACACCAGUGGCGAAGGCGACUUUCUGGUCUGUAACUGACGCUGAUGUGCGAAAGCGUGGGGAUCAAACAGGAUUAGAUACCCUGGUAGUCCACGCCGUAAACGAUGAGUGCUAAGUGUUAGGGGGUUUCCGCCCCUUAGUGCUGCAGCUAACGCAUUAAGCACUCCGCCUGGGGAGUACGACCGCAAGGUUG